GGGGGUUGGAACUGAACCCCACUUCCUGCAGCCGUUUCCCAGCCGGUUUUGAAAAGACUCUGAAAGGAGAAUAACGUCUUUAAUCAAGAGCAAUAGUAUUAGCUCCUUUACUAUAAGUAAUACUUUUCUUUGAGCCUAUAUUUAUUUUACCGGGCUAGAAAUAGCUGAAGUUAUUCCAGCAGCCAUGACUAUUGUCUAGGAGUUGGAUGUGGGCUGGCAAUAGACUGGCUGAUUACACUGUUUAGAAAUAAACCCCUUUGUUGGCAGUCUCUUCUGGUGAGAAUGGUUCAUAAAGGUCCCUGUGGCUGGUUGUUCCAUGGUGCUUGCUUUUAUAUCAGUUCAGUACCCUCAUAAUGAGGUGGUCUUCUAGAAUAUAUUAUUAUAACUCUGUUGCAGAGGGCGUAGGGCUCGUCAGUUAUGCAGGCAACAUCACAAAGCUUUGGAAGAAAUCUCUUAAUUAAGUGCUAGGGCUGGUGCUGCAGUGAAGGGAUGAAUGGACUGAAAUGCUUCCAUCUCUGAGCGUCUUUUCAAACUAAACGGGCCCUUUGCCGCAUCAUAGCCAGGAGUCCAGCAGACGGACACACUGAGAAAGUGGUGGUGGAUGUGAUUGGUGAUGUUCCUGACUUCCUCUGACCUACCCCUGGGGAUUUCUGUACUUCACGUCACACGUGGCUCCUUGUUGAUGGUAUGGUGAAAACAU
This 700-nucleotide long non-coding RNA is filed under the name Bos taurus (domestic cattle). Its description in RNAcentral is "long non-coding RNA NONBTAT012142". The record is from RNAcentral. Lineage: Eukaryota; Metazoa; Chordata; Mammalia; Artiodactyla; Bovidae.